GGAUUAAGAGCUUGCUCUUAUGAAGUUAGCGGCGGACGGGUGAGUAACACGUGGGUAACCUGCCCAUAAGACUGGGAUAACUCCGGGAAACCGGGGCUAAUACCGGAUAACAUUUUGAACCGCAUGGWUCGAAAUUGAAAGGCGGCUUCGGCUGUCACUUAUGGAUGGACCCGCGUCGCAUUAGCUAGUUGGUGAGGUAACGGCUCACCAAGGCAACGAUGCGUAGCCRACCUGAGAGGGUGAUCGGCCACACUGGGACUGAGACACSGCCCAGACUCCUACGGGAGGCAGCAGUAGGGAAUCUUCCGCAAUGGACGAAAGUCUGACGGAGCRACGCCGCGUGAGUGAUGAAGGCUUUCGGGUCGUAAAACUCUGUUGUUAGGGAAGAACAAGUGCUAGUUGAAUAAGCUGGCACCUUGACGGUACCUAACCAGAAAGCCACGGCUAACUACGUGCCAGCARCCGCGGUAAUACGUAGGUGGCAAGCGUUAUCCGGAAUUAUUGGGCGUAAAGCGCGCGCAGGUGGUUUCUUAAGUCUGAUGUGAAAGCCCACGGCUCAACCGUGGAGGGUCAUUGGAAACUGGGAGACUUGAGUGCAGAAGAGGAUAGUGGAAUUCCAUGUGUAGCGGUGAAAUGCGUAGAGAUAUGGAGGAACACCAGUGGCGAAGGCGACUUUCUGGUCUGUAACUGACACUGAGGCGCGAAAGCGUGGGGGAGCAAACAGGAUUAGAUACCCUGGUAGUCCACGCCGUAACGAUGAGUGCUAASUGUUAGAGGGUUUCCGCCCUUU
Molecule: ribosomal RNA, 790 nt
Filed under: Bacillus sp. MG12
Lineage: Bacteria; Bacillati; Bacillota; Bacilli; Caryophanales; Bacillaceae
Description: bacterial SSU rRNA
Rfam family: Bacterial small subunit ribosomal RNA
Source: RNAcentral